This 424-nucleotide ribosomal RNA is filed under the name Sphingomonas sp. sph1. RNAcentral's name for it is "bacterial SSU rRNA". It matches the Rfam family "Bacterial small subunit ribosomal RNA", at positions 358 to 775 of the family's 1533-position model. Lineage: Bacteria; Pseudomonadati; Pseudomonadota; Alphaproteobacteria; Sphingomonadales; Sphingomonadaceae. The record is from RNAcentral.
GGAAUCUUCCGCAAUGGGCGAAAGCCUGACGCAGCGACGCCGCGUGGGGGAAGAAGGCCUUCGGGUUGUAAACCUCUUUCAGCAGGGACGAAGCCACUCGGGUUAAUAGCCCAGAGAGUGACGGUACCUGCAGAAGAAGCCCCGGCUAACUACGUGCCAGCAGCCGCGGUAAUACGUAGGGGGCAAGCGUUGUCCGGAUUUAUUGGGCGUAAAGAGCGUGUAGGCGGCCAGAUAGGUCGGUUGUGAAAACUGGAGGCUUAACCUUCAGACGUCGACCGAAACCAUCUGGCUAGAGUCCGGAAGAGGAGAAUGGAAUUCCUUGUGUAGCGGUGAAAUGCGCAGAUAUCAGGAAGAACACCCGUGGCUAAGGCGGUUCUCUAGUACGGUACUGACGCUGAGACGCGAAAGCGUGGGGAGCGAACAG